Gossypium hirsutum (cotton) is the source of this 107-nucleotide non-coding RNA. NCBI's taxonomy places the organism in Eukaryota, Viridiplantae, Streptophyta, Magnoliopsida, Malvales, Malvaceae. The record is from Rfam.
AAUCCUGUGGUGAGGGUAUUAGCGUAAUAACUCUUUGAAUCUUUCCCAUGCCUCGUAUAAGGAUUCCUCAUCCAUUUGUUGAAAAUUUGUAAUCUCAUUCCGUAACU